RNAcentral lists this ribosomal RNA (254 nucleotides) under uncultured bacterium. RNAcentral's name for it is "partial 16S ribosomal RNA". It matches the Rfam family "Bacterial small subunit ribosomal RNA", at positions 524 to 776 of the family's 1533-position model. The record is from RNAcentral.
UACGUAGGGUGCAAGCGUUAAUCGGAAUUACUGGGCGUAAAGCGUGCGCAGGCGGUUUGGUAAGACAGAUGUGAAAUCCCCGGGCUUAACCUGGGAACUGCAUUUGUGACUGCCCGGCUAGAGUGUGUCAGAGGGGGGUAGAAUUCCACGUGUAGCAGUGAAAUGCGUAGAUAUGUGGAGGAAUACCGAUGGCGAAGGCAGCCCCCCUGGGAUAACACUGACGCUCAUGCACGAAAGCGUGGGGAGCAAACAGG